AUCCAUCUGACGAGUCCCAAAUAGGACGAGAUGCGCAUCCUAGAU
This 45-nucleotide non-coding RNA is filed under the name Trichobilharzia regenti. The record is from RNAcentral. Lineage: Eukaryota; Metazoa; Platyhelminthes; Trematoda; Strigeidida; Schistosomatidae.